UAAUAUAAAAAUUAUGUACUCACCUUUUGGAUACGACAUUGAGAAAUAAAAUCGACAAAAUACCCGAAUAUGUAGCAAAUUUACUCUUUUUCCUCAUGAGUACUCCUUUUGAUGGCUGAUUUAGCACAUGGGAACAUAAAUUCUAGUCAUAAAAGCAAAGCUCUUCAUUCUAGAAUGUAGAAGUAGAUAUAUUUAAAUUUGGAAAGAUAUCACCUAUGGAAACUCAACGUGUUAUUACUCAUGAAAAUUUUCUAGAUUUAUAAAAAAAGAUAAGUUUUAAUCUGCCUAUUUACUGUAGCUUCUCCCCAAAAUUAACAAGUAGUUUUUUCUUUGUUUUGAAAUGUACUUGUAGUUAUGAAUUAACCAGUAGCUACCGAAGAUAAGAUAUUCCUACUUCGUUCCUCAAAGUGAUAUUGGUGUGUUGAAAAUAUGGUAACCGCUAACUUGGCGUACGUAUAAAAUUGUAUGCUUGUGUUAAUAUAGAACAACCUUAUGUUGUUUUCUUUCUUUGAAACUGAUUUGUUUAACUAAGAUGUAUAUGUUGCGUAUCCGGGAGGCUUUCUUGGUUAUUCGGAGAAGUUGUUGAAAAAAGCAUAUGGCGCCAAUCCUCUGUUAUGUCUUUCCAUAUAGUUAUCAUGUAUUUGCUCAAUUUUUUUUGGAUGUAUCUCCCCAUUUUCAUUUAAUUGGCAGCAUAUGUCCAUGGGUACAAAAUCUAAAUUGAAACAUUUUACCAUAUUGUCUACUCAAUAAGACAACAUUAUUGCUCUCUUUUUCCCUACAUAACCCUUACAAAUCAUAUGAGUUACCUUGGUUUGCACCAUCCUGUGCAAUAGGCAAACUUUUGUUUUCAUUGCAGUUGCCUUUUUGAGCUUGACGUUAUAGACAGAAGUUGUACAAUGUCCAUGACAACCGAACAAACAUAUGAAACUCUUGCUAUCAAGGUUCACACAAAGAUUUUACACUGAAAUAUAAAUAACACAUUUCCAUGCUUUCUCAUUAUAAUUUAGUACUGAUAUCAUGUUAUGUAGAUCUUAAUUGGUGUGUUCUUUUUUUGACAAUUGGUUGGUGAACUGUUCACUCUUCAGCUACAAAGUUUCUACUCAAAAUUUCAGAUAAAAUGACUACUAUACUGGUCAUUUUAUUUUGCACGGAAAGAAAUCAUGCUUUUCCCGAAUUGAUCAACAUCUCUCCUUCCUAGAGAAGGAAUGAAGAAACGAAAAUUGCGCUGCCCAGAAAUAUGCAUUCCAAAUACUUGAAAUAACAUAUUCUAUGGUCUACUUAUUAUCUUGCAAUACUUUCCUUAAUUUGAUGCAGCGAAAACAAAGCUUGCUUUCAGCAAACAACAAAGAAACUAAUAAAAUAAUUUAAACCAACAAACAUUGGAAUGACAAUAGGG
Molecule: long non-coding RNA, 1396 nt
Filed under: Solanum tuberosum (potato)
Lineage: Eukaryota; Viridiplantae; Streptophyta; Magnoliopsida; Solanales; Solanaceae
Description: long non-coding RNA (STUB_LNC004415)
Source: RNAcentral